RNAcentral lists this ribosomal RNA (477 nucleotides) under uncultured bacterium. RNAcentral describes it as "bacterial SSU rRNA". It matches the Rfam family "Bacterial small subunit ribosomal RNA", at positions 328 to 793 of the family's 1533-position model. The record is from RNAcentral.
UCAGUCGACUCCUACGGGGAGGCAGCAGUGGGGGAAUAUUGCACAAUGGGCGCAAGCCUGAUGCAGCCAUGCCGCGUGUAUGAAGAAGGCCUUCGGGUUGUAAAGUACUUUCAGCAGUGAGGAAGGCAGGUACGUUAAUAGCGUGCUUGUUUGACGUUAGCUGCAGAAGAAAGCACCGGCUAACUCCGUGCCAGCAGCCGCGGUAAUACGGAGGGUGCGAGCGUUAAUCGGAAUUACUGGGCGUAAAGCGCAUGCAGGUGGUUCGUUAAGUCAGAUGUGAAAGCCCGGGGCUCAACCUCGGAAUUGCAUUUGAAACUGGCGGACUAGAGUACUGUAGAGGGGGGUAGGAAUUUCAGGUGUAGCGGUGAAAUGCGUAGAGAUCUGAAGGAAUACCGGUGGCGAAGGCGGCCCCCUGGACAGAUACUGACACUCAGAUGCGAAAGCGUGGGGAGCAAACAGGAUUAGAUACCCUGGUAG